GUGUUUGCUUAAUUGGUAUCAGGUUAACCCAUGAGACAUUCUUUUGUCGUUCAUCCAAAAAUAUUACGCUUCUGGAGCCCAAGUCAAAUUGAAGGUUGAUCGAAAGUUUGGCAUUUACACAGUUUUGCAACCGUUGAGCGUGUCACCUAAAAUGAAUGAUAAGAAACUUGCUUUUUUCCAUCGAUUUCUAAGAUAUUCACGUUGUGCAAACGACAGGAGUUGACUGUGUCUGUUCAAUGUCUAUUCAUUUCUUGAUUCCUAUUUUUUUUUUCCCCCACUAAAUUAUACCAGUGCCGCGAAGGUCACACAUCUAAAAUUCAAACUUCUGGUAAGGAGCUUGUUGUCACAUAGAAUAAUAGUUAGAUUUUAUCGUCCCUAGAUGUAAACAUGGUUAAAUCAGCGUGAAUCAUGAAGCAUAUCUGCUCCUCUGUUGAAAACUAAAAAAUGGUUGAAUUAAGAACAAUUUAAUCAACAUUAUGAGGUGGAAGUGCAAAAGCUGGGUUUCUUUGAGCGCGGACGAGAUGUUUAUAAAUGCUUGUACUCAACUCCAAGAGGAAGAAAGAAUCUACCGACAUGGCUUCACUAUCUCGAAAGAUCUAAAUAGAGAAACUAUCCUGACAGAUACAAACGACGUUACUUUGACGCUCAAAAACGAUAUGCAUCGAAUUUUUCUUCUAUAUUUCUUUUGGCUAUCAAAUUUUAAACAGAGUUUCUUGUUUUGUUCUAGGUUUUUAUUGUUAUUUCUUUUAAUGUCGCCCCUUGUUAUAGGUGUUCUCUAUAAACUUGAGAGUUUAGAAACUUGUUUCGGAUCGUCCCCCUCUACGGCCUAAGGGAAUGGAAGAUUCUGACCCAUCCAGGCCAUCCACCCAAUUCAACCUGUAAGGAAGGAAGAGAAUUUCUUACUGAAAAAUCUCGUGUCAGAACUCGUGAUUCAAUUUUCAGUUUCAUUUCAAAAUUUCGUUGGUACGCCAAAAGCUGCAAAAUGCUCUUUUAGCGCGAGUAGCAACCGGUCGUCCGCAAACGCCCAACGCGGGUUACGUUGUAUAAGCUUGAUUUCUGUUAUGGAAUACGCUCUGAUGGAGUAAAUAUUCUGGAAUUCUCCAAAAAAUUACACAGGGUAAAAGGCGUUCAAAACCUGUUUUUGGUUAGUUUAUAAAAGUUCAGUUUGCA
Molecule: long non-coding RNA, 1170 nt
Organism: Daphnia magna
Lineage: Eukaryota; Metazoa; Arthropoda; Branchiopoda; Diplostraca; Daphniidae
Exons: 2
Source: RefSeq, a predicted model, not a curated record